Molecule: ribosomal RNA, 432 nt
Filed under: uncultured bacterium
Lineage: Bacteria
Description: partial 16S ribosomal RNA
Rfam family: Bacterial small subunit ribosomal RNA
Source: RNAcentral
ACGCACGCUGGCGGCAGGCCUAACACCUGCCAGUCGAGCUGACCCUUCGGGGUUAGCGGCGGACGGGUGAGUAACGCGUGGGAAUAUGCCCUUCUCUACGGAAUAGUCCUGGGAAACUGGGGGUAAUACCGUAUACGCCCUUUGGGGGAAAGAUUUAUCGGGGAAGGAUUAGCCCGCGUUGGAUUAGGUAGUUGGUGGGGUAAUGGCCUACCAAGCCGACGAUCCAUAGCUGGUUUGAGAGGAUGAUCAGCCACACUGGGACUGAGACACGGCCCAGACUCCUACGGGAGGCAGCAGUGGGGAAUCUUAGACAAUGGGGGCAACCCUGAUCUAGCCAUGCCGCGUGAGUGAUGAAGGCCUUAGGGUUGUAAAGCUCUUUCAGCUGGGAAGAUAAUGACGGUACCAGCAGAAGAAGCCCCGGCUAACUCCGUG